RNAcentral lists this transfer RNA (71 nucleotides) under Sphingopyxis sp. RIFCSPHIGHO2_12_FULL_65_19. Its description in RNAcentral is "tRNA-Lys". It matches the Rfam family "tRNA", at positions 12 to 71 of the family's 71-position model. Rfam says of the family: Transfer RNA (tRNA) molecules are approximately 80 nucleotides in length. The record is from RNAcentral. Lineage: Bacteria; Pseudomonadati; Pseudomonadota; Alphaproteobacteria; Sphingomonadales; Sphingopyxidaceae.
GAAACGCUGCAACGGAUCAUCACUGACUUUUAAUCAGUAGGUCGCUGGUUCGAACCCAGCAGGGCUCACCA